This 333-nucleotide long non-coding RNA is filed under the name Hordeum vulgare. RNAcentral's name for it is "long non-coding RNA (HVUL_LNC000952)". Lineage: Eukaryota; Viridiplantae; Streptophyta; Magnoliopsida; Poales; Poaceae. The record is from RNAcentral.
GUGAGGGGAAUACGGGUACAAAAACGGGUUCUUUCCCUAGUGGAGAUGAUGGGGGUUGGAUCCCCACUGCAGAGGCCGGGCCUCCCUUUUAUACUGGCUUUGGUCCUCUUCCCCCAAAAAAUAUUGGCGGGAAGGGUUGCCACAAAGGGCAUUCUAAAAGGGGAUAGGACAAUCGUCCGCCCUAAUAAAGAUGGUCUUCUCCUACAAAAAGCGUUCUUCAUGACGGACUGGUGGGCUCGGGGGUGACUUCCAUCCUGCCGAGCCUCCAGCCUCGCUCCUCUUGCACCGAUUGGGGAACCUUUGGGUGGUUGCUUUGGGAACCCGCAGCUGGCU